GAUGAACGCUAGCGGCAGGCCUAACACAUGCAAGUCGAGGGAGAGGUUACCUUCGGGUAACCAAAACCGGCGCACGGGUGCGUAACGCGUAUACAAUCUGCCUUUCACAUAGGGAUAGCCCGAAGAAAUUUGGAUUAAUACCUAAUGGUAUAUAAGAGCGGCAUCGUUUUUAUAUUAAAGCUACGGUGGUGAAAGAUGAGUAUGCGUUCUAUUAGCUAGUUGGAGAGGUAACGGCUCCCCAAGGCGACGAUAGAUAGGGGUUCUGAGAGGGAUGUCCCCCACCCUGGUAUUGAGAUACGGACCAGACUCCUACGGGAGCCACCCCUGAGGAUUUUUGUACAAUGCUCGGGAAUACUGAUCUAGCGAUGCUACGUCCUGAUGAAGGUUCUAUGGAUUGUUCUUUGCUUCUGUUACCCGAGAAUUCUCAUCCCC
This 432-nucleotide ribosomal RNA is filed under the name uncultured Capnocytophaga sp. RNAcentral describes it as "bacterial SSU rRNA". It matches the Rfam family "Bacterial small subunit ribosomal RNA", at positions 28 to 460 of the family's 1533-position model. Lineage: Bacteria; Pseudomonadati; Bacteroidota; Flavobacteriia; Flavobacteriales; Flavobacteriaceae. The record is from RNAcentral.